UAGGGAAUCUUCCGCAAUGGACGAAAGUCUGACGGAGCAACGCCGCGUGAGUGAAGAAGGAUUUCGGUUCGUAAAACUCUGUUGUUAGGGAAGAAAAAAUGUAUAGUAACUAUAUACAAAAGAGACGGUACCUAACCAGAAAGCCACGGCUAACUACGUGCCAGCAGCCGCGGUAAUACGUAGGUGGCAAGCGUUGUCCGGAAUUAUUGGGCGUAAAGCGCGCGCAGGUGGUUUAGAAAGUCUGAUGUGAAAGCCCACGGCUCAACCGGGGAGGGUCAUUGGAAACUAAUAAACUUGAGUGCAGGGGAGAAAAGUGGAAUUCCUAGUGUAGCGGUGAAAUGCGUAGAGAUUAGGAGGAACACCGGUGGCGAAAGCGGCUUUUUGGCCUGCAACUGACACUGAGGCGCGAAAGCGUGGGGAGCAAACAGG
Molecule: ribosomal RNA, 429 nt
Filed under: Verrucomicrobiota bacterium
Lineage: Bacteria; Pseudomonadati; Verrucomicrobiota
Description: Verrucomicrobia bacterium partial 16S ribosomal RNA
Rfam family: Bacterial small subunit ribosomal RNA
Source: RNAcentral